This 1370-nucleotide ribosomal RNA is filed under the name uncultured bacterium. RNAcentral's name for it is "bacterial SSU rRNA". It matches the Rfam family "Bacterial small subunit ribosomal RNA", at positions 28 to 1381 of the family's 1533-position model. The record is from RNAcentral.
GACGAACGCUGGCGGCGUGCCUAAUACAUGCAAGUAGAACGCUGAAGAGAGGAGCUUGCUCUUCUUGGAUGAGUUGCGAACGGGUGAGUAACGCGUAGGUAACCUGCCUUGUAGCGGGGGAUAACUAUUGGAAACGAUAGCUAAUACCGCAUAACAAUGGAUGACACAUGUCAUUUAUUUGAAAGGGGCAAUUGCUCCACUACAAGAUGGACCUGCGUUGUAUUAGCUAGUAGGUGAGGUAAUGGCUCACCUAGGCGACGAUACAUAGCCGACCUGAGAGGGUGAUCGGCCACACUGGGACUGAGACACGGCCCAGACUCCUACGGGAGGCAGCAGUAAGGAAUCUUCGGCAAUGGGGGCAACCCUGACCGAGCAACGCCGCGUGAGUGAAGAAGGUUUUCGGAUCGUAAAGCUCUGUUGUAAGUCAAGAACGGGUGUGAGAGUGGAAAGUUCACACUGUGACGGUAGCUUACCAGAAAGGGACGGCUAACUACGUGCCAGCAGCCGCGGUAAUACGUAGGUCCCGAGCGUUGUCCGGAUUUAUUGGGCGUAAAGCGAGCGCAGGCGGUUUGAUAAGUCUGAAGUUAAAGGCUGUGGCUCAACCAUAGUUCGCUUUGGAAACUGUCAAACUUGAGUGCAGAAGGGGAAGAGUGGAAUUCCAUGUGUAGCGGUGAAAUGCGUAGAUAUAUGGAGGAACACCGGUGGCGAAAGCGGCUCUCUGGUCUGUAACUGACGCUGAGGCUCGAAAGCGUGGGGAGCGAACAGGAUUAGAUACCCUGGUAGUCCACGCCGUAAACGAUGAGUGCUAGGUGUUGGAUCCUUUCCGGGAUUCAGUGCCGCAGCUAACGCAUUAAGCACUCCGCCUGGGGAGUACGACCGCAAGGUUGAAACUCAAAGGAAUUGACGGGGGCCCGCACAAGCGGUGGAGCAUGUGGUUUAAUUCGAAGCAACGCGAAGAACCUUACCAGGUCUUGACAUCCCGAUGCUAUUUCUAGAGAUAGAAAGUUACUUCGGUACAUCGGUGACAGGUGGUGCAUGGUUGUCGUCAGCUCGUGUCGUGAGAUGUUGGGUUAAGUCCCGCAACGAGCGCAACCCCUAUUGUUAGUUGCCAUCAUUCAGUUGGGCACUCUAGCGAGACUGCCGGUAAUAAACCGGAGGAAGGUGGGGAUGACGUCAAAUCAUCAUGCCCCUUAUGACCUGGGCUACACACGUGCUACAAUGGUUGGUACAACGAGUUGCGAGUCGGUGACGGCGAGCUAAUCUCUUAAAGCCAAUCUCAGUUCGGAUUGUAGGCUGCAACUCGCCUACAUGAAGUCGGAAUCGCUAGUAAUCGCGGAUCAGCACGCCGCGGUGAAUAAAUUCCCGGGCCU